RNAcentral lists this ribosomal RNA (1554 nucleotides) under Escherichia coli. RNAcentral's name for it is "bacterial SSU rRNA". It matches the Rfam family "Bacterial small subunit ribosomal RNA". The record is from RNAcentral. Lineage: Bacteria; Pseudomonadati; Pseudomonadota; Gammaproteobacteria; Enterobacterales; Enterobacteriaceae.
UUAAAUUGAAGAGUUUGAUCAUGGCUCAGAUUGAACGCUGGCGGCAGGCCUAACACAUGCAAGUCGAACGGUAACAGGAAGAAGCUUGCUUCUUUGCUGACGAGUGGCGGACGGGUGAGUAAUGUCUGGGAAACUGCCUGAUGGAGGGGGAUAACUACUGGAAACGGUAGCUAAUACCGCAUAACGUCGCAAGACCAAAGAGGGGGACCUUCGGGCCUCUUGCCAUCGGAUGUGCCCAGAUGGGAUUAGCUUGUUGGUGGGGUAACGGCUCACCAAGGCGACGAUCCCUAGCUGGUCUGAGAGGAUGACCAGCCACACUGGAACUGAGACACGGUCCAGACUCCUACGGGAGGCAGCAGUGGGGAAUAUUGCACAAUGGGCGCAAGCCUGAUGCAGCCAUGCCGCGUGUAUGAAGAAGGCCUUCGGGUUGUAAAGUACUUUCAGCGGGGAGGAAGGGAGUAAAGUUAAUACCUUUGCUCAUUGACGUUACCCGCAGAAGAAGCACCGGCUAACUCCGUGCCAGCAGCCGCGGUAAUACGGAGGGUGCAAGCGUUAAUCGGAAUUACUGGGCGUAAAGCGCACGCAGGCGGUUUGUUAAGUCAGAUGUGAAAUCCCCGGGCUCAACCUGGGAACUGCAUCUGAUACUGGCAAGCUUGAGUCUCGUAGAGGGGGGUAGAAUUCCAGGUGUAGCGGUGAAAUGCGUAGAGAUCUGGAGGAAUACCGGUGGCGAAGGCGGCCCCCUGGACGAAGACUGACGCUCAGGUGCGAAAGCGUGGGGAGCAAACAGGAUUAGAUACCCUGGUAGUCCACGCCGUAAACGAUGUCGACUUGGAGGUUGUGCCCUUGAGGCGUGGCUUCCGGAGCUAACGCGUUAAGUCGACCGCCUGGGGAGUACGGCCGCAAGGUUAAAACUCAAAUGAAUUGACGGGGGCCCGCACAAGCGGUGGAGCAUGUGGUUUAAUUCGAUGCAACGCGAAGAACCUUACCUGGUCUUGACAUCCACAGAACUUUCCAGAGAUGGAUUGGUGCCUUCGGGAACUGUGAGACAGGUGCUGCAUGGCUGUCGUCAGCUCGUGUUGUGAAAUGUUGGGUUAAGUCCCGCAACGAGCGCAACCCUUAUCCUUUGUUGCCAGCGGUCCGGCCGGGAACUCAAAGGAGACUGCCAGUGAUAAACUGGAGGAAGGUGGGGAUGACGUCAAGUCAUCAUGGCCCUUACGACCAGGGCUACACACGUGCUACAAUGGCGCAUACAAAGAGAAGCGACCUCGCGAGAGCAAGCGGACCUCAUAAAGUGCGUCGUAGUCCGGAUUGGAGUCUGCAACUCGACUCCAUGAAGUCGGAAUCGCUAGUAAUCGUGGAUCAGAAUGCCACGGUGAAUACGUUCCCGGGCCUUGUACACACCGCCCGUCACACCAUGGGAGUGGGUUGCAAAAGAAGUAGGUAGCUUAACCUUCGGGAGGGCGCUUACCACUUUGUGAUUCAUGACUGGGGUGAAGUCGUAACAAGGUAACCGUAGGGGAACCUGCGGUUGGAUCACCUCCUUACCUUAAAGAA